CCGAAAGUUCUUCUGUUUUAAAAAAACACUCAAGGAAAUUGAAUUUGUAGUGAAGAUGCUACAUUAAAAUGGUUAGACGAGAAGUCCCCAUGGAGCUUUACUGAAAGCUUAAAAGAAAUUUUUUUAUUUAUUUAUAGGCUAGACAGUUUUGUUGGGGUGAUAGUUUUUUAAAAAGUAACGAAAACGAACUAUGACGCAUGUUUCACUCUGAAAACUUGAAGAGACAUUUGGGGUGUGUUUUAUGAUCUAUUGUUUUGAAUGAAAAAGAUAAUGAAAGCAGAUAAAAGUUACCCUGGGGAAA
Molecule: ribosomal RNA, 301 nt
Filed under: Caryophyllia grayi
Lineage: Eukaryota; Metazoa; Cnidaria; Anthozoa; Scleractinia; Caryophylliidae
Description: partial 16S ribosomal RNA
Rfam family: Bacterial large subunit ribosomal RNA
Source: RNAcentral